CGUUAUAAUUUUUUUUCUGUAAUCUUUUUCACCUGAAAAAUUAGUUUUACCAUAUCAUAACUACGCAUCACUUCCCCUUUCAACCCCUUCAGCAGUUCCUUAGCCAUCUGGUUAAAUCCAAACCGCUCAACCUAUUUAAGACCUCUCUCCCAGUCUCCACCCCUGAAUACUUGCUUCCCCAGCACGGGAAAGUCAUGUUUGCGGACUUCAUCCGACCUUGAAUAUUGUCUUUUCAGCCCCCUGACUGUGUAUGCUUUCCCUACAAACCGUUAUCCUUCCUCUAAGCCCCUCCCACUGGAAGGCUUACUCCCUGCCCCACAGCACAGGGGUUUCACUUUCAGUUCCUGUAUCUAGGCACUUUGUGUUUCAUCAAACCACAAGCUUCCCAGCUACUGGCACUGUUCUGAGAAGAGGGUGAAACUUCAGGUGGAGUCAAGUGGAUGGAAGCCUGGCUUUGAAGGUUGAGAGGACGCUCCUGCAUCGGUCCGCCUUCCAGCACUUCGCCGACCUUCUCUUUUCACGACUUCAUGGAAAGAAAUGCUUCUUGCCACUCCUGCUGACUCGUGCCAAUUUGGUGGAGCCUUGAGGUUUCUUCUGGAUUGAGCCGCUGCUCCUGAUUUGUGCUUGGUGCUUUGGACCAGACUGCUGAUAUCCUGACAAUGGAGACUGGAAUUGCCCCCAAAGAACUAUCUCUAAACAGGCCCACAUCCCCCAUUUCCUAUCAUCCUUUCUUUUCCCCCUACCACUGGUUGGUGUGCUAGCAGGGAGGUUGAAGUGUUUAAGAAGGCUUAUUAAAAAUACAUUUUAAAAGUU
Molecule: small RNA, 813 nt
Filed under: Rattus norvegicus (Norway rat)
Lineage: Eukaryota; Metazoa; Chordata; Mammalia; Rodentia; Muridae
Description: uncharacterized LOC102553072
Source: RNAcentral